UGAUGAGACUGAUGAUGAUAUUUGCAGCUUGGAAUGCAAGGGUAUAUUGUUGUCGCGGCUUGGAGAAUCACGGCAACCUACUGCUCGUCCAUGCCCUGUGAAGUUACCAGCAACUGAUGAGUGCUAUUAUGUAAGGGAUAAUGGUAAGUCUGAAGUGAAUCCGCUAACAACUGAGCAGACUGAACUUCUGAGAAGGAAACUUGAUAUUCUUGUGAAG
This 217-nucleotide unclassified non-coding RNA is filed under the name Hevea brasiliensis (rubber tree). Lineage: Eukaryota; Viridiplantae; Streptophyta; Magnoliopsida; Malpighiales; Euphorbiaceae. The record is from RNAcentral.